UUCCCCUCCCCUUUCUCUUGGAUGCCACCCCCUCCCCUCUCCCAUCUUCUUCCUCCUCAAACCUUUGCAGCCCUCACCACCCAAAACCCUAGUCCCCCCCCCCAUUUCUCUUUCCCCCCUCCAAGGUGCAGCCCUCCUGCGUGGUUCUCCGUCAUGUGGCGCGAUCUCAAUUGGAGUUUCGAGGGAGGAAGAAGGAAGGAGGAAGGGAAGAACCCAAGGUGAAUUUGUGUUUAACUUUUGUUGUUUUUGUGCUGCAAUCAAUUGGAUUAUGCGUUUAUCUUUGCGAAACGGUAGAGGUGUUGUCCAGGAUUUUUGUGAGUGGGUGGACAGCAGUAGUUCAAGGGAUUUCUGGGAAUUUUCGUGGGUUAAUUAGUGGGAAUCAGUGGGAUAAUCAUGUAGAGCUUUGUCAUACCUUUCCAACGAGUACUUAUGCGCUCGAUUCGGAGUUAUAAUUUAGGAGAUAUCGUUGUUUGAAUCCGGGUAUGUUGCUGUCCAAAAAACAGAUAUUUCAGGUGGGUGAACAGCAGUAGUAUUAGCAGUUUCUAGGAAUUUUUAGUGGGUAAUUAGUGAUAACCAGUAUGAUAAUCAUGUAGGGCUUUGUCUUAUCUUUCCAAUGAGUACUUAUGCGCUUGAUUUGAAAUUAUAUUUUAAAAGAUAUCGCUGUUUGAAUCCGGGUAUGUCGCUGUCCAAAAGAGAAAAAAACAGAUUACAGGGUUUAUCUUGUGGACUGUUUUGGGCUAUUUAGAUUUUGGAAUUUAAUUAUAAAUUGUAUACAAAACUUGUGGGGAAUUUUAUGUAGAUGCCUCUGGAGUUUUUGUUUGUUACCACUGCUGUCAUAAUUUUAAAGUUAUGAAAUUAUUAAGCAGCGCUGCUGCAGUUUGGUGGGUGUGGGGAGAGAUGUUACCCGCGGCGGGGUUUGAGAUUGUGCGUAGGUGCGGCGUCGUUUAUGAGCGUGAUUGUGUGUAAUUAGUGCACUAAGUUGUGUGUCAAAAACAGGUGGUGGACUUCCGGAUCGUACUUAGAGAUUUGCCCAAACUUCCGGUGAAGGCAAGUAAAACAGUGAUGGUUAUUUCGUCUGUUGAUUGAAGAGUCUUAUACUUGAUUAUGUUUGUGUUAUUUGUGUUCGUAUUCAUAUUCCUAAUUGGGUACCGUUGUUUGAAAUUAUUCAUGUUUUAUUGAUUAUACAUGUGGAGGGUGUGGUUUGAUCAUGUUACCCAUGUGGUUUAUUAUGUGAAAUGGGUGGAGGUAUAUGUCUAGCACACUUUAUUUGGGAAGAACUCAUGUCGUUGACAUGCAUAAUGCCUUCAUCAUCCAUUGCAUUGAAGUUUCGUCGCGAUCUUAUGGUACGACCGUACCAGUACAAUGAGCAUCAUAUGUUGCCCAAGAAGGGGUAUGAUGCAGCUUCAUAUCCUUAGAGGUAUGAAGGCAGAAGUCAUACUGCAUCUGUAGCCAUGUGCAUUCAUGGGGGAAGUGUGGAACCUAUUAUGGUGAUGUGGAUAAUGUGGAUCUUUACUUUGUGAUUUAUCUUGGCAUUGAGUAAUUGAUUACUUGCUUACUUGCUGCAGAUUAAUAUUUAAGAAAGAAGUUGGGAACCACGUGGUUGCUUAUGCACGGUUGGCUUACAUUGUCUAACUGUUGUUUGUUUUUUUACUUGCUGAGAUGUGUCAUCUCACUCUUGCGUUGUCUAAUGCAGGCACCUGAUUUUUGCUUUGGGAAAGAAGGGAUGUAGCAGCACGGCCACCACACUUUUAAAUAAAGGAACCACUGCUUAAUAAUGAUGUUAAACAGGGAGGGUCAAGUCUAGGAGAUUAUUACAUUCUAAUCUUUCAUGGUAGUUCAACUGUUUAGUUUGGUGGGCUGAGUUGUCUAUCUUUU
This 1875-nucleotide long non-coding RNA is filed under the name Zea mays. RNAcentral's name for it is "long non-coding RNA (ZMAY_LNC002560)". Lineage: Eukaryota; Viridiplantae; Streptophyta; Magnoliopsida; Poales; Poaceae. The record is from RNAcentral.